AGUGGCGGACGGGUGAGUAACGCGUGGGUAACCUACCUCAUACAGGGGGAUAACAGUUGGAAACGACCGCUAAUACCGCAUAACCCGCUAGUAUCGCAUGAUACGGACGGAGAAGAUUUAUCGGUAUGAGAUGGACCCGCGUCUGAUUAGCCAGUUGGCAGGGUAACGGCCUACCAAAGCGACGAUCAGUAGCCGGCCUGAGAGGGUGAACGGCCACAUUGGGACUGAGACACGGCCCAAACUCCUACGGAAGGCAGCAG
Molecule: ribosomal RNA, 260 nt
Filed under: uncultured bacterium
Lineage: Bacteria
Description: partial 16S ribosomal RNA
Rfam family: Bacterial small subunit ribosomal RNA
Source: RNAcentral